Molecule: ribosomal RNA, 520 nt
Filed under: uncultured bacterium
Lineage: Bacteria
Description: bacterial SSU rRNA
Rfam family: Bacterial small subunit ribosomal RNA
Source: RNAcentral
CAGGGCGAACGCUAGCGGCGCGCCUAACACAUGCAAGUCGUGCGGGAAAGGGCUUCGGCCCCAGUACCGCGGCAGACGGGUGAGUAACACGUGAGUAACCUGUCCUCGGGUCUGGGAUAACCACCCGAAAGGGUGGCUAAUACCGGAUAAAGUCACCGGGCGCAAGCUCGGUGAUGAAAGGGGGCCUCUGCAUAGCAAGCUCCUGCCUGAGGAGGGGCUCGCGGCCCAUCAGCUAGUUGGUGGGGUAACGGCCCACCAAGGCUAUGACGGGUAGCCGGCCUGAGAGGGUGGUCGGCCACACGGGCACUGAGACACGGGCCCGACUCCUACGGGAGGCAGCAGUGGGGAAUCUUGGGCAAUGGGCGAAAGCCUGACCCAGCGACGCCGCGUGGGGGAAGAAGGCCUUCGGGUCGUAAACCCCUGUUCUGGGGGAAGAACCCUGACUGGGUUAAGAGCCCAGUCAGGCUGACGGUACCCCAGGAGAAAGCCACGGCUAACUGCGUGCCAGCAGCCGCGGUAA